UUGUCUUUCCCCUAACUGUAAGUAAACACAAAACCCCCAUUAAAACACUAGCCACAAAACAAUAAGAUCGUAACAAUACAAGACUUAUCGAACAAACGCAAUUAAACGUUGCACAAAAAGGAGACAAAUUGGAAAAACCAAAAAUAAGAGGAAGAUACAAAAAUUCGGCAGAGGGGAAAAGAGAAACAGACCGUCAAAACCUGAGAAAAAAUUUGGGAAAAACAGAAAGAAUAAAAAUGAAAUAAAAUCUAAUUAAAAACCCACUAAUAUCCUAACUCCCCACUAAUUCACCUCCAACUACCCUAGAAUCCCAG
Molecule: long non-coding RNA, 314 nt
Filed under: Gossypium raimondii (Peruvian cotton)
Lineage: Eukaryota; Viridiplantae; Streptophyta; Magnoliopsida; Malvales; Malvaceae
Description: long non-coding RNA (GRAI_LNC000409)
Source: RNAcentral